AGCCCCGUGGCCUAGUCUGGAUAAGGCAGCGCCCUCCUAAGGCGAAGACCGAGGGUUCAAUUCCCUCCGGGGCUG
RNAcentral lists this transfer RNA (75 nucleotides) under Promethearchaeota archaeon. Its description in RNAcentral is "Candidatus Lokiarchaeota archaeon tRNA-Arg". It matches the Rfam family "tRNA". Rfam says of the family: Transfer RNA (tRNA) molecules are approximately 80 nucleotides in length. Their secondary structure includes four short double-helical elements and three loops (D, anti-codon, and T loops). Further hydrogen bonds mediate the characteristic L-shaped molecular structure. tRNAs have two regions of fundamental functional importance: the anti-codon, which is responsible for specific mRNA codon recognition, and the 3' end, to which the tRNAs corresponding amino acid is attached (by aminoacyl-tRNA synthetases). tRNAs cope with the degeneracy of the genetic code in two manners: having more than one tRNA (with a specific anti-codon) for a particular amino acid; and 'wobble' base-pairing, i.e. permitting non-standard base-pairing at the 3rd anti-codon position. Lineage: Archaea; Promethearchaeati; Promethearchaeota. The record is from RNAcentral.